This 254-nucleotide ribosomal RNA is filed under the name uncultured bacterium. RNAcentral describes it as "partial 16S ribosomal RNA". It matches the Rfam family "Bacterial small subunit ribosomal RNA", at positions 524 to 776 of the family's 1533-position model. The record is from RNAcentral.
CACGUAGGGUGCGAGCGUUGUCCGGAAUUAUUGGGCGUAAAGAGCUCGUAGGCGGUCUGUCGCGUCGAUCGUGAAAACUUGGGGCUUAACCCUGAGCUUGCGGUCGAUACGGGCAUGACUGGAGUUCGGCAGGGGAGACUGGAAUUCCUGGUGUAGCGGUGAAAUGCGCAGAUAUCAGGAGGAACACCGGUGGCGAAAGCGGCCGUCUGGAACAUUCCUGACACUGAGGUUCGAAAGCUCGGGGAGCAAACAGG